GUCGUCUGAGACGCAAGUUAAACACUUGGGGACUACCACUCUGACACUUAACUAGAUUACAUCUCCUACAGCAGCUUUCAGGCUUUUGUCCCUCUCUGUUUCUUUAUCUGGGUGGGUCUCAUGGCACAUAGUCCCUGACUGUCAUCUUGCUGGCACGGGGAUCAUCAGGGGUGGAAAAUCCUAAAGUUAUAGUCUCACCUUUCUGAUGCUUUUUCCUAUUGUUGUUUUCAAGCUUUCUGGUAACCUUCACUCGGGCAGGAAGUUUAGCAUGUUAAGCACAUUGAAUCACCAUGUCUUUGAAUUUA
Pelobates cultripes (western spadefoot toad) is the source of this 305-nucleotide non-coding RNA. The record is from the annotation of a GenBank genome assembly. Lineage: Eukaryota; Metazoa; Chordata; Amphibia; Anura; Pelobatidae.